RNAcentral lists this ribosomal RNA (460 nucleotides) under uncultured bacterium. Its description in RNAcentral is "partial 16S ribosomal RNA". It matches the Rfam family "Bacterial small subunit ribosomal RNA", at positions 338 to 795 of the family's 1533-position model. The record is from RNAcentral.
CCUACGGGUGGCAGCAGUGAGGGAUAUUGCUCAAUGGGCGAGAGCCUGAACCAGCCACGUAGCGUGAGGGAUGACGUCCCUAGGGGUGGUAAACUUCUUUUAUAGGGGAAUAAAUGAAGGUACGUGUGCAUUAUUGUAUGUACUAUAUCAAUAAGGAUCGGCUAACUCCGUGCCAGCAGCCGCGGUAAUACGGAGGAUCCGAGCGUUAUCCGGAUUUAUUGGGUUUAAAGGGAGCGUAGAUGGGUUGUUAAGUCAGUUGUGAAAGUUUGCGGCUCAACCGUAAAAUUGCAAUUGAUACUGGCAGUCUUGAGUACAGUUGAGGUAGGCGGAAUGUGUGGUGUAGCGGUGAAAUGCUUAGAUAUCACGAAGAACUCCGAUUGCGAAGGCAGCUUACUAAACUGCCACUGACAUUGAGGCGCGAAAGUGUGGGUAUCAAACAGGAUUAGAUACCCGAGUAGUC